AAGGGCACCACAAGAACGCGUGGAGCAUGUGGCUUAAUUUGACUCAACGCGGGAAAUCUUACCGGGUCCGGACACACUGAGGAUUGACAGGCAAUAUUAAUUUCUGCAGCUUCGGCUAAAGUUAUCAUGUUAAAUAUGCUAGUCCUUUCAUGAUUAUGUGAUAGGUGGUGCAUGGCCGUUCUUAGUUCGUGGAGUGAUCUGUCUGCUUAAUUGCGUUUCACUAAGGGCCUAUAAAUUACGUGUGUUGCGGUACUUUGACCCCUCUUUUUUCACGAGAAGAGCGCGUGUCUUAGUUUGCUUAGCUCACACAAUUAGGUCCUGAAAGCAACGAACGUGACCGCAACCUCUUGUUGCCUUUAUACCAAACAUGGAUAUUCUCUUCGGAGGGUUUCAUGAAAAAAGGCUUUUUAAACUAGAGGGACCGCUGUUACUUUCUUAAACCAGAGGAAGGUUGCGGCAAUAACAGGUCUGUGAUGCCCUUAGAUGUUCCGGGCUGCACACGUGCUACAAUGAUUAUUGCAGUGAGCAUCUCAUUUUUUACACACCGCAUACGCGAGUCCAUUUAUUCACUCUCGGGUGCUUUAAAUGUGCAUCUCUGCGAGCGGUAAAGCCUGCUUCGAAAGUAAGUGGGUAAUCAAUUAGAAGUAAUGAUUUCCUUUUUUUCUAGCACACAUAUAUACGGCGUUUAUACCCGGGCUGCCUUGUUGUAGCUUUUGUGCGUAUAGAUGUUUUUUCCGUAUGUGCGAUUGUCAAUUCAUGGUGGGGACAGACCAUUGUUAAUUGUUGGUCUCGGUCUUAACUAGGAAUGCCUUGUACGGGUCUUUGGUUCAACAAACCACCCGGAAUACGUCCCUGCCCUUUGUACACACCGCCCGUCGCUCUUACCGAUGGACUUCUCUGUGAGUUUGAGGGACUGGGAACGCAGGUUUUUUAUUAAAUCUGCACACCUAUGGAAACUUAAACGAACAGUGUGGUCUAAAGGAAAGAGAAGUCGAACAAGGCA
This 1003-nucleotide ribosomal RNA is filed under the name Epistominella sp. 8121. Its description in RNAcentral is "SSU rRNA". It matches the Rfam family "Eukaryotic small subunit ribosomal RNA", at positions 1160 to 1801 of the family's 1831-position model. The record is from RNAcentral. Lineage: Eukaryota; Foraminifera; Rotaliida; Pseudoparrellidae.